UACGAAGGGGGCUAGCGUUGCUCGGAAUCACUGGGCGUAAAGCGCACGUAGGCGGCUUGUUAAGUCAGGGGUGAAAUCCUGGAGCUCAACUCCAGAACUGCCUUUGAUACUGAUGAGCUUGAGUUCGAGAGAGGUGAGUGGAACUGCGAGUGUAGAGGUGAAAUUCGUAGAUAUUCGCAAGAACACCAGUGGCGAAGGCGGCUCACUGGCCCGAUACUGACGCUGAGGUGCGAAAGCGUGGGGAGCAAACAGG
RNAcentral lists this ribosomal RNA (253 nucleotides) under uncultured bacterium. RNAcentral describes it as "partial 16S ribosomal RNA". It matches the Rfam family "Bacterial small subunit ribosomal RNA", at positions 524 to 776 of the family's 1533-position model. The record is from RNAcentral.